ACCUCUCAAUUUAUAAUAUCUCUCUCUGGUUUUAAAAAAAAAAAGCCUCUCUCUCUCUCUCUCUCAAACUGAGAUGCCGUUGCAGACCUCACGAGCUUACCGGCGACGACCUGGAGGCAUGGCACGACUCUCCCUAGCAAACCAAAUCGAUGCCAUUGCUCGCCGACGACGACCUAGAGGCAAGGCGAGACUGACAAACCGAUGCCGUUGCAUACCUCACAAUCGCUAGUGACGACUUGGAGACAUGGCGCGAUCUACACAACAAAGUCGUCAUGGUCUCCGGCUCUUCGACGAGGCCCUCCACCGCCGCCAUCGCCUCUUCCUCCACCUCACCUGCAUCAGAACCCUAAACGAGCAUUGAUUCUCCGGCGACGACGACAAGGCCCGCGACCUCUUCAUCUCUAAUCGAAAAUCCCCAACCGGAAAGUCUCUCUGGCUCUUCGUCAUGUCCUACAGGUCGGAAGAUAUGAGUGAUGUCGAUUGGGAGCUCAUAGCUGAGGAGCAUGAAUGAUGUGAAUAUAUCUCUUUAGAUGAAGGUUUGGGGAGUUUUUGCUGAAGUCAAUGAAAAGGGCCUUGUAAUUAGUCUUCCAGGGGUCUUGUCGACAUAUCUUCUGAUGCUUUUGAUCUUAUUUUGGAUGAUGAAACUAAGUUUUGAAAUACUCCGAAGUCUCAUAUGUGAUGCGGGAAGUAAAAGUGAGAAGAAGAGAGCAAAUUGAGACAAAAGAAAAUGCUGGAUAAGGAAUGCAGUAUGAAGUAACUUUUAGUGUUGGAGGUUGCCGGAAAUUUCAUCAGAGUAGCUUUUGUUGCUAGCCACAGUAGCUUUUGUUGCUAGCCACAGUAGCUUUUGGUGUUAGUGACAGUAGCUUUUGUGGUCGCCGAAGUUUGCCGGAGGUUGGCCGGAGACCCGCCGGAAGUUGGCCGGAAGUCGACCGGAGACCCGCCGGAGGUCUGUCGGAGUUGACCGGAGACCUCGCCGGAGAGGAGAGAGAGAAUGGUUGUUGACUUUUUACUGUAGUGGUAUUUAUGUAAAUAUAUUAGUUUUUAUGUUCAAAAUAUAACACCAUUUUUAAUUUAGUAGCCUUAUGAGGGAAAAAAUUAGUUGGUGACCUUAUGACUAAAAAAACAUUUAAAGAUGCACUUAUAUGUAAUUAACUCUUAAAACUUCCUGUCUAGUUGUUUCAC
Molecule: long non-coding RNA, 1182 nt
Organism: Rosa rugosa (rugosa rose)
Lineage: Eukaryota; Viridiplantae; Streptophyta; Magnoliopsida; Rosales; Rosaceae
Exons: 4
Source: RefSeq, a predicted model, not a curated record